RNAcentral lists this ribosomal RNA (431 nucleotides) under Panthera pardus (leopard). RNAcentral's name for it is "partial 16S ribosomal RNA". It matches the Rfam family "Bacterial large subunit ribosomal RNA", at positions 1840 to 2493 of the family's 2925-position model. Lineage: Eukaryota; Metazoa; Chordata; Mammalia; Carnivora; Felidae. The record is from RNAcentral.
CCAGUAUUAGAGGCACUGCCUGCCCAGUGACAUCAGUUAAACGGCCGCGGUAUCCUGACCGUGCAAAGGUAGCAUAAUCAUUCGUUCCCUAAAUAGGGACUUGUAUGAAUGGCCACACGAGGGCUUUACUGUCUCUUACUUCCGAUCCGUGAAAUUGACCUUCCCGUGAAGAGGCGGGAAUAUGACAAUAAGACGAGAAGACCCUAUGGAGCUUUAAUUAACCGACCCAAAGAGAUCUUAACAACUAACCGAUAGGGACAACAAACCUCUACCAUGGGUCGACAAUUUAGGUUGGGGUGACCUCGGAGAAUAAAACAACCUCCGAGUGAUUUAAAUCUAGACUAACCAGUCGAAAGUACUACAUCACUUAUUGAUCCAAAAACUUGAUCAACGGAACAAGUUACCCUAGGGAUAACAGCGCAAUCCUAUUU